UUAAAUUGAAGAGUUUGAUCAUGGCUCAGAUUGAACGCUGGCGGCAGGCCUAACACAUGCAAGUCGAACGGUAACAGGAAGAAGCUUGCUUCUUUGCUGACGAGUGGCGGACGGGUGAGUAAUGUCUGGGAACCUGCCUGAUGGAGGGGGAUAACUACUGGAAACGGUAGCUAAUACCGCAUAACGUCGCAAGAGCAAAGGGGGGGACCUUCGGGCCUCUUUCCAUCGGAUGGGCCCAGAUGGGAUUAGAGAGUAGGUGGGGUAACGGCUCACCUA
RNAcentral lists this ribosomal RNA (276 nucleotides) under Escherichia coli. RNAcentral describes it as "partial 16S ribosomal RNA". It matches the Rfam family "Bacterial small subunit ribosomal RNA", at positions 1 to 271 of the family's 1533-position model. Lineage: Bacteria; Pseudomonadati; Pseudomonadota; Gammaproteobacteria; Enterobacterales; Enterobacteriaceae. The record is from RNAcentral.